UGCACUAUGAUGUUCGAGGUUAGGUGGUCGUAAUUAAGGAUAUGACAGGGUCCACGCAGGGGGUCUUUUUUGUGGGCAGUGUAACUGCAUGUUCUGAUGGAACGUGAGGAUAUGAGAAACCAGCAGUAUAAUUGGUUAUGAAGUGAUAAGGAACUUGCAGCUUAAGCAGAUCUUAUUUCUCAGUACACACUUAGCAGCUUAGAAAGGCUGUAGGCGGACUGAUGUUAAUGGAUCUAUCAAGAGUACAGGCGCUGCAGUUCCUGGUCAUAUCUCGCUUUUUUCUGAUACAUUGAACGAGUAUGUUAGAAAAUAGGAUAGUAUGCACUCUUGCUUAUGCUCUUCUCAACUUUGUUAUUGUGAUUUCAGUGAAGCAUGUCGACCAGAAAUUCCACUAAAUCAUAUCCGGAUGUAGUGUCUGACGUCAAAGAAGCAGGAAGCGAAGUGUCUGAAGGUAGUUGGCAAUUGGACAAGGCGCACAUGAAUUGCCUGUGGCUGGCUGCUAGCAGCUUGUGGAAUUUGAGGAGAAUCUGUGCACCAGCAUCCGACUCCUUGAUGUUGCUCUGAUCAUAUUAUGUAAAUAUAUUUCUAAUAAAGCAAUUGCCCGAUGGUGUACAUGUUAGAAAUAACAAGAUGUAACCAUCAAGUGUGAGAGAUGGCAACAUCAUGAUGGGAUGGUAUGUACUGUUGUGCUCAUCAAUAGGGGGAGCUCAAGGUCAUGGCGGGGCUUCGAUUUUUCUUGUAGAAAAGAGAGACAUAGGAGGAUCCAGGGAGGAGGAGAGGUAGGAGAAGAAGGACGGGGAAGUAGGAAGGGUGCAGUAGGGGUGAGUGUGCUUCCGCCUGCCAUGCCCAAGGCUUGAUCUGCCGCCGACUCUCCUCUGCCCAUGCUGUCUGUGACACGUCAGAUCCCCAGCUGCCGGCACUUCUCCUCUGCCCAUGGGCCAUGGCUGUUCUGAUGCAUCAAAUCCACUGCAGAUCGAUUUGCUGUAACAUUGGCUGGGUGUUCUCUUCUCGACUCUACCAACACUCUGGAGUUACAAGCAAUUACAUCAGGAGCUCGGUCAAAAAUCACCUAAGGAAAAUAUGUUGUUCUUCUCUACAAGGGUUGCAUGUGGAAUUUGAGGAGAAUCUGUGCACCAGCAUCCGACUCCUUGAUGUUGCUCUGAUCAUAUUGUGUAAAUAUAUUUCUAAUAAAGCAAUCGCCCGUGUACAUGUUAGAAAUAACAAGAUGUAAUCAUCAAGUGUGAGAGA
Molecule: long non-coding RNA, 1248 nt
Organism: Triticum urartu
Lineage: Eukaryota; Viridiplantae; Streptophyta; Magnoliopsida; Poales; Poaceae
Source: RefSeq, a predicted model, not a curated record